This 701-nucleotide ribosomal RNA is filed under the name Agromyces sp. RNAcentral's name for it is "bacterial SSU rRNA". It matches the Rfam family "Bacterial small subunit ribosomal RNA", at positions 74 to 783 of the family's 1533-position model. Lineage: Bacteria; Bacillati; Actinomycetota; Actinomycetes; Micrococcales; Microbacteriaceae. The record is from RNAcentral.
UGGAGCUUGCUCUGGUGGAUUAGUGGCGAACGGGUGAGUAACACGUGAGUAACCUGCCCUGGACUCUGGGAUAAGCGUUGGAAACGACGUCUAAUACCGGAUAGGACCUCGGAUCGCAUGAUCUGGGGUGGAAAGUUUUUCGGUCUGGGAUGGACUCGCGGCCUAUCAGCUUGUUGGUGAGGUAAUGGCUCACCAAGGCGUCGACGGGUAGCCGGCCUGAGAGGGUGACCGGCCACACUGGGACUGAGACACGGCCCAGACUCCUACGGGAGGCAGCAGUGGGGAAUAUUGCACAAUGGGCGCAAGCCUGAUGCAGCAACGCCGCGUGCGGGAUGACGGCCUUCGGGUUGUAAACCGCUUUUAGUAAGGAAGAAGGGGCUUCGGCCUUGACGGUACUUGCAGAAAAAGGACCGGCUAACUACGUGCCAGCAGCCGCGGUAAUACGUAGGGUCCGAGCGUUGUCCGGAAUUAUUGGGCGUAAAGAGCUCGUAGGCGGUUUGUCGCGUCUGCUGUGAAAACUAGAGGCUCAACCUCUAGCCUGCAGUGGGUACGGGCAGACUUGAGUGCGGUAGGGGAGAAUGGAAUUCCUGGUGUAGCGGUGGAAUGCGCAGAUAUCAGGAGGAACACCGAUGGCGAAGGCAGUUCUCUGGGCCGUAACUGACGCUGAGGAGCGAAAGCGUGGGGAGCGAACAGGAUUAGAU